AUUUAAAGUUUUUUUGCUUUUGGGUUUCAGAAAAGUUUGGGUUAAAUGCAAGUUUUAGCGGGAAAAAAUAUGUAUUUAAAUAAAAUUAUGGGAAUAUAAAUAAGAGGGCAGUUAUUAGUUUUAAAUAUUCGGGGGGCCGAGAUAUAGCAUGGGUUUAAAGUACAAACAAAAUUUGUGCCAGCAGUUGCGGUUAUACAAAUUGUGCAAUGAAAGUUUAUUGGGUACAGUUAAUUGAAUGGGUAUAGAAUUAAGAGAAUUUUAUUGGGUGAAAUUUUUAAUAUUCUGGAGGUUUAUAUUUUGUGAUAAUGAGGCUGGGAAAUUUUACGAAAGACUAGGAUUAGAUACCCUAUUAUAAAAAUGAGUUUUAUAAACCUAAAUUAUUAGUAGUUAAGUUCUUGAAAAUUAAUGAAGAUGGCGGUAUUUUAGUCUAUUUAGAGGAAUCUGCCCUGUAAUUGAUAUUCCACGAUUCAAAUUACUUGGAGUUUUAGCUUGCAUAUCGCUGUAGAUUGAAUAUUUUUACUGAAUUUAAAUGUUCACGAGUUUGAGGGAAAGAAAAUCAAGUCAAGAUGUAGCUUAUAUCUGAGAAGAGGUGGAUUACAAUAGUUGUAUUUGUGGUUAGUAGUUUGAAAAGGCUAUUAUAAAAUGGAUUUGAUAGUAAUUUUUUACUAAGAUUUGAAAAAUGAUUUUAGCUCUAAAAUAUGUACAUAUCGCCCGUCGCUUUCACUAUAAGGUGGAAUAAGUCGUAACAUAGUAGAUGUACUGGAAAGUGCCUCUAGAAAACA
This 782-nucleotide non-coding RNA is filed under the name Scolytinae sp. BMNH 1274290. The record is from RNAcentral. Lineage: Eukaryota; Metazoa; Arthropoda; Insecta; Coleoptera; Curculionidae.